UACAGAGGGUGCAAGCGUUAAUCGGAAUUACUGGGCGUAAAGCGUGCGUAGACGGUUGCGUAAGUCAGAUGUGAAAGCCCCGGGCUCAACCUGGGAAUUGCAUUUGAGACUGCGUAGCUAGGGUGCGGAAGAGGGAAGCGGAAUUUCCGGUGUAGCGGUGAAAUGCGUAGAUAUCGGAGGGAACAUCAGUGGCGAAAGCGGCUUCCUGGACCAGCACCGACGUUCAGGCACGAAAGCGUGGGGAGCAAACAGG
Molecule: ribosomal RNA, 253 nt
Filed under: uncultured bacterium
Lineage: Bacteria
Description: partial 16S ribosomal RNA
Rfam family: Bacterial small subunit ribosomal RNA
Source: RNAcentral